UCCAAUUACAAAUAGGAAGUUUGUUUCUAUAAAAUAAGCCAUAAUAAGUUUAGAACACAACCGAACCUAAUAGGCUAUUAACCUAGAAAACUCAUUAUUGACAUUGAAACAUAAGCUGUUGGAAACACCAUCGUCAACUCUACCUUUGCUGCAACCAAGCCAAUCUUGUACAAAGCAAACGGAAUCGUUUUCAUCAUAGAUAGCCGCACAAAGCCAUAAAUAGCAAGUUGAAACUUAUAAAACAUGAAAUCACCACUAUCAUUAAAAAUAAGUUUAGACAACA
RNAcentral lists this long non-coding RNA (283 nucleotides) under Manihot esculenta (cassava). RNAcentral describes it as "long non-coding RNA (MESC_LNC005266)". Lineage: Eukaryota; Viridiplantae; Streptophyta; Magnoliopsida; Malpighiales; Euphorbiaceae. The record is from RNAcentral.